GUAUUUUGAAUCUGAGCUCACUCAUAUUCAGAGCCUGGAGCUGCAGAGAAAGAGUGGUCUAGUGGUUACACCAAGGAAAAGGAAGUUAUUUACUGUGUUGUAACUGGAGUUGGAGAUGCAUGGUUGCUAUGUGCAUUCCACUGUGGAUACGCAUGUGCUCCAUGGGCCUGGGACUGGAGAAUUCUUGCAAUCAGUGUCCAUUGAUCUGAACCUGCAGCCCUGCUCUCCUUGUGCUCCGUAAUGAAGUUGUAAAGGGUGGUGCAGACUGACCGCCUGCUCUAGUUCCUUCUCUACAGCGAAUCCAGUCAUAAUCCAAAGCAGACAGGAAGGCGGUACGUAGUGGAAUGCACAUAAGGACUAUGCCUCUUGGAGAAUUCCGGUUACAACAAGGAGGGGUUGCACACCAUCCUCGGCAGCAACCCCACUUCCACCGCCAAGAGCCCUAUGGAUACUUCGGCAGGACUGGAGGCAGCCGAUUCAACCCCAAGGACGAAGUGGUGGAUGAGUAGGUAGAGUUGGAGAAGGAUGCGAGACAGGCAACAGGUUUGUCUAGUGGCGUGGCAGCCAGGACCUCUUUUUGACUUCAGAGUGGUUUAGCCAUUUCUGGCUCUGGCAUUCCUGAAGCUGGAGAGGAGAGCUCCAGUGUGCCCUUGAGGACCAGUUCCACACCAGAAGAACGCCUCCAUCAGAUAAAGUAGUGAAAGAGAAGGAGUAAGCAGGACAUAUUUCGUAAAGAGCUGCAACCAUCAGAUCAGGCCAAUAACAAGCAUGGAGAGAGACAAUCAAAAUACUAGAAAUGAAUAGCCAGCGAAUGAUACAGAGCCAGGAGUAGAUAAUAAAGUUCAUGGAGGACCAAACAGAGAUGCUGAGGUCCCUGACUGAGCUGCAGGGGGAACACAUGUGUGCUUGACUCCCCCUGUAGCCCAUACAGAACUGCCUUCAUUGCUCUCCCAGAACUUCCCAUACACAUUCCUGGCCCAUCACAGUAACCCUUGUACUCCACCGCAAGGACAUUUUCCAUAAUGACGGCUGGACUUACACACAGCUAUGAGAUCCUCACUUCAGAGAGUGCUGCUCAC
This is a long non-coding RNA of Gopherus flavomarginatus (Mexican gopher tortoise), 1079 nucleotides long. RefSeq lists it as uncharacterized. The transcript has 3 exons. NCBI's taxonomy places the organism in Eukaryota, Metazoa, Chordata, Testudines, Testudinidae. The record is from RefSeq and is a predicted model, not a curated record.